Styela clava is the source of this 287-nucleotide non-coding RNA. Lineage: Eukaryota; Metazoa; Chordata; Ascidiacea; Stolidobranchia; Styelidae. The record is from RefSeq and is a predicted model, not a curated record.
AUAUCAAAAGGCGUAAACUAUUAGACUAUUUAGUAUUUUUGUCGAUUUCAAAUUGAAAUGGAUCCAAUAUCAAUACGAAAAGAUCUUGGAGUGGCAGAUUAUUUGUCAUUUGUUCUUCUCAUGGCAAUAUCUACAAUUAUUGGAGUAUAUUUUGCAUACAGGGAUAGAAACGAUGCCACAACUAAAAAUUACUUUUUCGGGGGAAAGCAAAUGAAUCCGGUUGCUGUUGGCCUUUCACUUGCUGUGACAUUCCAAUCAGCUAUUGUUGUGAUUGCGACUCCCGCCGA